UGGUGCUAAUACCACAUGAUAUCAUACCAAGGCAUCUUGGAAUGAUCAAAGGAGAAAUCCGGUGUGAGAUGGGCCUGCGUCCGAUUAGCUAGUUGGUGUGGUAACGGCGCACCAAGGCGACGAUCGGUAGCCGAACUGAGAGGUUGAUCGGCCACAUUGGGACUGAGACACGGCCCAGACUCCUACGGGAGGCAGCAGUGGGGAAUAUUGCGCAAUGGGGGAAACCCUGACGCAGCAACGCCGCGUGAAGGAAGAAGGCCUUCGGGUUGUAAACUUCUUUGAUUGGGGAAGAAAAAAAUGACGGUACCCAAGGAACAAGCCACGGCUAACUACGUGCCAGCAGCCGCGGUAAUACGUAGGUGGCGAGCGUUGUCCGGAAUUACUGGGUGUAAAGGGCGUGUAGGCGGGAUAGUAAGUCAGAUGUGAAAUUCCAGGGCUUAACUCUGGAGCUGCAUCUGAAACUACUUUUCUUGAGUGCUGGAGAGGAAAGCGGAAUUCCUAGUGUAGCGGUGAAAUGCGUAGAUAUUAGGAAGAACACCAGUGGCGAAGGCGGCUUUCUGGACAGUAACUGACGCUGAGGCGCGAAAGCGUGGGGAGCAAACAGGAUUAGAUACCCUGGUAGUCCACGCUGUAAACGAUGGAUACUAGGUGUAGGAGGUAUCGACCCCUUCUGUGCCGGAGUUAACACAAUAAGUAUCCCACCUGGGGAGUACGGCCGCAAGGGUUGAAACUCAAAGGAAUUGACGGGGGCCCGCACAAGCAGUGGAGUAUGUGGAUUAAUUUCGAAGCAACGCGAAGAACCUUACCAGGGCUUGACAUCCCUCGAAUAACAUAGAGAUAUGUUACUCCUUUCGGGACGAGGAGACAGGUGGUGCAUUGGUUGUCGUCAGCUCGUGUCGUGAGAUCUUGGGUUAAGUCCCGCAACGAGCGCAACCCCUAUUGUUAGUUGCCAUCAUUAAGUUGGGCACUCUAACGAGACUGCCGGUGACAAAUCGGAGGAAGGUGGGGACGACGUCAAAUCAUCAUGCCCCUUAUGUCCUGGGCUACACACGUACUACAAUGGUCACUACAAAGGGAAGCAAUCCUGCAAGGAGGAGCAAAUCCCCAAAAGUGAUCUCAGUUCGGAUUGUGGGCUGAAACCCGCCCACAUGAAGUCGGAAUUGCUAGUAAU
Molecule: ribosomal RNA, 1171 nt
Filed under: uncultured organism
Description: bacterial SSU rRNA
Rfam family: Bacterial small subunit ribosomal RNA
Source: RNAcentral